ACUGUACUCCCAAUGUCUACGUCAGCAUUGUACCUUUCAGUACCCAAGAAGCUGAGGCAGGAAAAUCUCUUGAGCCAUUGAGUUUGAAACCAACCUGGACAAAUAGCAGAUUGACCUGCAACUCAGAGACCCACUUGCCUCUACCUCCCAAGUGCUGGGAUUAAAGGAAAAGAACCCAAGAGUCUGUGUGUCUCUCUGGGUUCAUUCAUUGUUCUUCUCUUCCUGGCACUCAAAGUUUUAGCUUUUGCUACACUAGCAGAAGAAAACAUUCAAUGGCUGCUGACAGUUUCAGAGGGU
Molecule: long non-coding RNA, 297 nt
Organism: Mastomys coucha (southern multimammate mouse)
Lineage: Eukaryota; Metazoa; Chordata; Mammalia; Rodentia; Muridae
Exons: 3
Source: RefSeq, a predicted model, not a curated record